UGGGGUGGGUUAUGGUAAUGAAGGUGGGGUUAUGGUAAUGAGAGGUUAUGCAAAUGAGGGGUUAUGCAAAUGAGGGGGUUAUGGUAAUGAGGGAUUAUGGUAAUGAGGGGGAUUAUGGUAAGGAGGGGUUAUGGAAAGAAAGGUGGGGUUAUGGUAAUGAGGGGUGGCGUUAUGGUAAUGAGGGUGGGGUUAUGGUAAUGAGUGUUGGUUAUGGUAGGGAGGAAUUGUGGGAAUGUGCGGUUAUGCAAAUGAG
Long non-coding RNA from Corvus hawaiiensis (hawaiian crow), 253 nucleotides. RefSeq lists it as uncharacterized. NCBI's taxonomy places the organism in Eukaryota, Metazoa, Chordata, Aves, Passeriformes, Corvidae. The transcript has 3 exons. The record is from RefSeq and is a predicted model, not a curated record.